Molecule: ribosomal RNA, 497 nt
Filed under: uncultured bacterium
Lineage: Bacteria
Description: partial 16S ribosomal RNA
Rfam family: Bacterial small subunit ribosomal RNA
Source: RNAcentral
GAUGAACGCUGGCGGCGUGCCUAAUACAUGCAAGUCGAGCGAACGGACGAGAAGCUUGCUUCUCUGAUGUUAGCGGCGGACGGGUGAGUAACACGUGGAUAACCUACCUAUAAGACUGGGAUAACUUCGGGAAACCGUAGCUAAUACCGGAUAAUAUUUUGAACCGCAUGGUUCAAAAGUGAAAGACGGUCGUGCUGUCACUUAUAGAUGGAUCCCCGGUGCAUUAGCUAUGUGGUAAGGUAACGGCUUACCAAGGCAACGAUGCGUAGCCGACCUGAUAGGGUGAUCCGCCACCCUGGAACUUAGACACGGGCCAGACUCCUACGGGAGGCAACAGUAGGGAAUCUUCCGCAAUGGGCGAAAGCCUGACGGAGCAACGCCGCGUGAGUGAUGAAGGUCUUCGGAUCGGAAAACUCUGUUAUUAGGGGAGAACAUAUGUGUAAGUAACUGUGCACAUCUUGACGGUACCUAAUCAGAAAGCCACGGCUAACUACGUG